GGUUAAAAAGCCCGUAGUUGGAUUUCUGUCGAAGACGGUCGGUCCGCUCUAUGAGCGUGUAUCUGAUUCGGCUUUGGCAUCCUCGUGGGGAACGUAACUGUGCUUGAUUGCAUGGUGCGGAAUUCACGACUUUUACUUUGAGGAAAUUAGAGUGUUCACGGCAGGCAAGCGCCUUGAAUACAUUAGCACGGAAUAAUAAUAUAGGACUUUGGUUCUAUUUUGUUGGUUUCUAGGACUAAAGUAAUGAUUAAUAGGGAUAAUUGGGGGCAUUUGUAUUAACGCGUCAGAGGUGGAAUUCUUGGAUUGCGUUACGACAAGCUACUGCGAAAGCAUUUGCCAAGGAUGUUUUCAUUGAUCAAGAACGAAAGUAUGGGGAUCGAAGGUGAUUAGAUACCGUCGUAGUCUAUACCAUA
RNAcentral lists this ribosomal RNA (413 nucleotides) under uncultured marine eukaryote. Its description in RNAcentral is "SSU rRNA". It matches the Rfam family "Eukaryotic small subunit ribosomal RNA", at positions 617 to 1034 of the family's 1831-position model. The record is from RNAcentral.